UGAGUACGAGAUGCUACGGCAUCGAAGCAGUCUAUGUCAUACUUCCAAGAAAAGCUUGCAAUGUCAUAAACAAAUAAUGCCUGUACCAUAACCGACACAGGUGGGUAGGUAGAGUAUACUAAGGGGCGCGAGAUAACUCUCUCUAAGGAACCCGGCAAAAUGACUCCGUAACUUCGGGAGAAGGAGUGCCUUAUUUUUAUAAGGUUGCAAUAACAAGAUCCAAGCAACUGUUUACCAAAAACACAGGUCUCCGCUAAGUCGUAAGACGAUGUAUGGGGGCUGACGCCUGCCCAGUGCCAGAAGGUUAAAGAAGUUGGUUAGCAUUAGCGAAGCUGAUAACUGAAGCCCUGGUGAACGGCGGCCGUAACGAUAACGGUCUUAAGGUAGCGAAAUUCCUUGUCGGGUAAGUUCCGACCCGCACGAAAGGCGUAAUGAUUUGGAUACUGUCUCGGAGAGGGGCUCGGUGAAAUAGACUUGUCUGUGAAGAUGCGGACUACCUGCACCUGGACAGAAAGACCCUAUGAAGCUUUACUGUAACUUGAGAUUGAAAUUGGACUUUAUCUGCGCAGUAUAGGUGGGAGACGUUGAAAAUAUUCUUGCGGGAAUAUUGGAGUCAUCAGUGAGAUACCACUCUUAUAAUGUUAGAUUUGUAACUUUGUAUCAUUAUCUGGUCAAAGAACAGUUUCAGGCGGGCAGUUUGACUGGGGCGGUCGCCUCCCUAACGGUAACGGAGGCGCACAAAGGUUUCCUCUGAACGUGUAGAAAUCGUAUCUAGAGUGUAAAGGCAUAAGGAAGCUUGACUGUGAGACCUACAAGUCGAGCAGGGACGAAGGUCGGUCUUAGUGAUCUGACGGUGCUGAGUGGAAAGGCCGUCACUCAACGGAUAAAAGUUACUCUAGGAUAACAGGCUGAUCUCCCCCAAGAGUUCACAUCGACGGGGAGGUUUGGCACCUCGAUGUCGGCUCAUCGCAUCCUGGGGCGGUAGUACGUCCCAAGGGUUGGGCUGUUCGCCCAUGAAAGCGGUACGCGAGCUGGGUUCAGAACGUCGUGAGACAGUUCGGUCCAUAUCCGGUGUAGGCGUUAGAAUAUUGAGAGGAGCCUUCUUUAGUACGAGAGGACCGAGAAGGACAUACCUCUGGUGUACCAGUUAUCGUGCCAACGGUAAACGCUGGGUAGCCAUGUAUGGAGAGGAUAACCGCUGAAAGCAUCUAAGUGGGAAGCCCACCUCAAGAUAAG
This 1236-nucleotide ribosomal RNA is filed under the name metagenome. RNAcentral's name for it is "bacterial LSU rRNA". It matches the Rfam family "Bacterial large subunit ribosomal RNA", at positions 1564 to 2808 of the family's 2925-position model. The record is from RNAcentral.